UAGCCUCAUCCCUUAAAUUCAAUAGCAGAAGAUCAAUGGAUCAAUAUAAUACUACAUUGCAUUAAAAACGUCACUUAGGUGUGAUUUUAUUUAAGCAAAACCUCCUUAAUCACUUUUUCCAAGUUCAUGUAUGAACAACCACCAGGUCUCGUGUCCUCCUCCGCCUUCUUCUUCAUCUCCAUUAUAUUUUUCCUCAUCUUCUUUCCUUUAUCUCCCACCAUCAAUUCAUUGACCAAAUUCUCCACCUCAUUUCUCUUCACAUUAGUAUCGAUUUCGAUUCCAAUCUCCCAUGUAUUGCAGAUAUAUCUACAGUUUGCUGGCUGAUCAGCAAAAAAUGGCUAACACAACAUUGGAACUCCAGUAGAUAUGCUUUCGGUCGUUGAGUUCCAUCCACAGUGAGUCAAGAAACCACCAAUUGAAGGAUGGUUCAAUACUUUCUCUUGCGAGCACCAACCAGCAAUUAGGCCUCUAUCUGAAAUUUCAUUCACAAACUCCGAUGACAAAACAACUGAGCCACCAAUGACAAGAUCGGGCCUAAUGAUCCACAAAAAGAGUUGCUUGCUAUUUGCUAAACCCCAUGCAAACUCUAACAGUUUUUCUGAAGUCAUAACUGUCCUGCUCCCAAAAUUCACAUAAACAACGGACCUCGGUUCCUUUGAUUCAAGCCAAUCAAGACACUUGUUAUCUUCUUUCCAAAGAUUGGUACUUAAACUUGCCAAGUGAUUCUGUGGACUUUGACUUAAAAGUGAAGAUAAAGGGCCAAUAGCAUAAACAUUAGGGAACGUCGAAGAGAUAACUUUCAUUACAUCCUUCUCAAGUUCAUUAGAAGUAUUAAAAAUAAAAGCAGAGGCUCUGUGAGCCCUUCCUGCUGCUUCAAUGAUAAAUUCUACCAUCGAAUCAUUUGGAUCAGUAAUCUGUAUAAAGGCAGGCAAAUCCCUCAGUCGAAAGUUCUUCAGUCCUGGCAUACAGUCCACUUUAGUGUCCAAAUAUCCGUUUGUCAGAUAACUCUCAUCUGCAUAUCAAAUUUACAAAAGUUGUUAGUGUGAAAUUGAAUCUCCAUACUCCAAAUAUAUGUCAUAUGAACACUUUAACUACUCUACACAUAUGAAGAAAGAAAGAAGAUUAAUUGUUACCUUUUAGUGGUAUGAGACCUUUAUCUAGAAAUGUACGUAAAUGAAUACCAGUCAGAAAUGUACAUGCAUUGGAUGGACUAAAGACAACAUUAGGGAUUGAAAGUUCUUCAGCAGCUUGUAUAGUAAAGGACAUGCUAAUAUCAGAAACUAUGCAACUAACUGGACGGACAAGACCAGAUGUUGCAGAGUCAUUAAGUCUAGCAAGAAGUUCGCGGAAAGGUUGUAGAAAAUUCUUCCUGAUUGAUUUACAAAGAGCGUAAAUGUCUUGACUAACAUCGCCAUCGCCAUCCGUUGGAGAUAAACCAUCUGGAAUACUCUCAAAGUUAAAAUUGGUGAAACCAUCAAAGGCAUUUUGACCUCUUGACUUGAGCAACCGUUUGUGAUUGUAUUCAGUGUUUACAUAGGUUAUGUGAAAACCUCUAAGGUGAAGAAAUUUUGCUAGUUGCAACAAUGGAUUGAUAUGGCCUUGAACUGGAUAUGGGAUUAACACAGCAUGUGGUUUUUUAUCACUCAUUAUUGAGUUUUUGUGUUUGAAUGUUGAGCUAAGGAAACCAAUGUUUUAAUAAAGAUAAAUCCAAUGUUUCUUGGAUUUGUGGAAAAGAAGAUAGAGACAAAAGACAAGGAAAGCAAAAUCAAAUUUAAAGGGUGAGAUCUUUUUCUUAUAAUAUGAAAUAAUUCUAAGUGACACAAUAAUUGAUGCAUACUAGUCAAGUCACCACUUUUUGUUACGUGAGAGAAGGAAAACAAUUUUUCAUUAAAAAGUUUAUAGCACAAACUUAAGAAUGCCUUUAGUAUGCGGUGGUCAGAAUUGAUUUAAAUAAAUUUGUUUGUUAAAAUUAGUUUUUGUUAAAAAGGGCGUUGGAUAUAAAAUUAUUUAUACUUAUAUAUAUUUACGUAAAUUUGAGUUGAGCAAAAAAUUAAAGACUUAAAAUCAAAGACUAAAAAUUGAAGACUUAUCUAACUUAAAUACUAUUAGUUAGACAUCGUUUGGGAUUUAUUUUGGAAUUGAUAGAAUAAUAAAGUUGAGAAACACUGUAUAUUGUGAUCCUAAGAUCACUAAUAUAACCAACCUUGCAUCUAAUCAUAACUAACUUUUUUUUAUAAGCAAUAAUCAUAACUAACUUAUAACUAUCUUAAACAAUACUAAACUAAUUUCAACAAAUAUGAAACUAUAUCUAACACAUACUUGCAUGGAAUUGCAACCAUUCAGUAGAAAGAUAUUAUCAAACAAAAUCUUCAUAUGCUUGUGGACCAACUCUAUACGUUUCAGUUUCAAAAUUGAACUAGAAGACACUUCUAUUCAAGUAUAAGAUAUAUAGUUCUGACAUCAAAGAUUUUUGUUGUACAAAGAAAAUAAUUAUGACCACUUAUUUAUUUUAUAAUAGUCUAUUGGCUAUUAUUUUCCAUGCUUGAAUCAGUCAGACAUUGGACAUCACAAAAAUAUUUGUCCCUUUCAACAAGAGCUCAAGAUUAUCUACAAAGUCUCAAUUCCAUAAAAGCCAAAUUCAUUUUUAUAUGUUGUCCCUUUACACAUGAAUUAUAAUCCUUUAUCACGCUACAACGUAUCAGCUCAAUGGUAAGAGUUUGAGCUUGUAAUCUCAAAGGACAAAGUUUAAAUUCCCUUAAUAACAAUGGUAAAAUGCUCAUUGUUGUAACUUUAAUUAAUAAACACUUAUUUUGACUAAUAGGAAUGUUAAAAUAUGUCUUGAAAUCUCAUGUUGAAAGUUUUUUUACUUUACUAUUGCCCCCAUGCGCUAGGCGCAGUUGUUUGUUGUUUUUAGCAUGUUUCUAUUUUGUAGCUUGCAUGAGGCGAAGGGUAUAGCUGAUUUAGCAGGUGUGCGUCAUGAUCUAUAUUAGUUAGGGGACAUUGAUGAUUCCACACAAUUGGCAUUUGCAAACAUCAAUGAAUGUUUUUGAAUGUUUAAAUAAGAAAGAACCUUUGAAUUCAAAUGCUUUCAAAUCAAUCUAUGCAACCAGAAGCUGACAAUGUAGUGCAGAGAAAUUUUAUAAAAGAUCAAAAGAAGAAUAUAAAUAUAAUAUUAAUAUGAUUUUCAACUAUUGUCUUACUUUGAUUCAGGUGAAUUCAAUCAAUCAAAAUUUGAAGGGGAAAAAUAAAGGUAUGUGAUCUUUAUUUAUGAAGAAUGAACUUGAUGAACAAGAAUGCAUCAUUACAAUGUUUCUGACUAAAUUGUUGAUGUUCAUACUUAAGAACAUAGGAAGACCUAAAAUAUGAAUUAUUUGUUCCUAACAAAACUAUAUAUAUUGUAUAAAAGUGACUUAAGCUUGAUUUUGUUUAAGCAACACCUCCUUAAUCACUUUCUCCAAGUUUGUGUAUGAACAACCUCCAGGUCUCGUGUCCACCUCCACCUUCUUCUUCAGCUCAAUGGCUUUUUGCCUCAUCUUCUUUCCUUUAUCUCCGGACAUCAAUUCAUUGACCAGUUUCUCCACCUCCUCCCUCUUUACAUUAGUAUCGAUUUCCUUUCCAAUCUCCCAUUCAUUGCAAAUAUAUCUGCAGUUUGCUGGCUGAUCCGAAAAAAAUGGCCAACAUAACAUUGGAACUCCAGCACAUAUGCUUUCAGUGGUUGAGUUCCAUCCGCAAUGAGUCAAGAAUCCACCGACUGAAAGGUGGUUCAAUACUUUCUCUUGUGGACACCAACUUGCUAUUAGUCCUCUAUCUGAAAUUUCUUUCAAAAAAUCAGAUGAGAAAACCACCGAGCCACCAAUGACAAGAUCAGGCCUAAUGAUCCACAAAAAGGGUUUUUUGCUGUUGGCCAAACCCCAAGCAAACUCUACGAGCUUCUCUCGAGACAUAACAGUGAUGCUGCCAAAAUUUACAUAAACAACAGAUCUUGGUUCUUUUGAUUCAAUCCAUUCAAGACAUUUAGUAUCUUCUUUCCAAAGAUUAGAGUCUAAAGAUGUCAAGUCAUUUUGUGGACUUUGAUUUACAAAAGAAGCUAAUGGACCAAUUGUGUAUAGAGAAGGGAACAUAGAAUAGAAAGCAUUCAUAACAUCACUCUCAAGUUCAUUAGAAGUAUUGAAUACCAUACCAGAAGCUCUAUGACAUUUAUCUGCCACUUCAGUAUUAAAUCUUAUCGUCAAGUCAUUAGGAUUUUUUGUCUUUAUUAACCUAGGAAGAUCCUUCAAUCUGAAGUUUUUCAAACCUGGGAUCCAGUCAAUUUUUGUGUCCAAAUAUUCAUUUGUUAGAUCACUCUCAUCUGCAUGUCAUAAUUGCAAAAAUCAAUAGCAAGUCAUAUGUAUAAAUAUAUAUAUCAAGGUUUAAAAUCACAUUUGCAAUAAUAAUUUUGGUUGUGUUAUCCUACUGAUAUUGCAUAUAAUCCCAAUCAAAUGUGGUUGAUGCAACCUCAAUUGCGAUUAUAGAGAUAUCGCAACCUUGAUGUUCGGCCCAUAUUGUGACCGCAAACCUUUUUUAAAAACCAUAACAUACACACACAGAUCUCUUAAGAAGAAAAAGGGAACAAAAAUGAUUACCUUUGAAUGGUACUUGACUAUUCAGAUACAUUUUAGGACUGAGCAAACAAGACAAGAAAUAACAUGCACUACAUGGGGAAAAAAGAACAAUUGGGAGGGCAUGUUCUUCAGCAGCAUCUACUGUAAAUGGCAUGUAGCAAUCAGAAACUAAGCAAGUGACUGGGGGGAUAAGACCAGCAGUGGCAGAGUCUUGAAGUUUAGCAAGAAGUUCAUCAAAGAAGUGGCGAAAGUUCGUUAUGAUUGAUUCACCAAGAGAGUGUAGGUCUUGACUUACAUCACCAUUACCAUCCUUUGGAGUUAAACCAUCUGGUAUAGUCUCAAAGUUAAAGUCAGUGAAACCAUCAAAGGCAUUUUCACCUCUUGAUUUGAGCAAACGUUUGUGAUUGUAUUCAGUGUUAACAAAGGUUAUGUGAAAGCCUCUAAGGUGAAGCAGUUUUGCUAUUUUCAACAAUGCAUUGAUAUGGCCUUGAACUGGAAAUGGAGUUAACACUGCAUGUGGCUUUUUCUCUUCAAAGUUACUCAUGAUUGAUAUUUUUCUUAUGUAAGAAAACUAAGAAAAAACUGAGGUGAAAAAUCUAUGAGGCCUCUAUAUAUAACAAUGAGUGAAUUUUGUUACGUAUCUAUUAUCUAUUGUAUAAUAUAAAAAAAUUCUUAAGAAUGGAAAAAACCAUUUUUCUUUUUGAAUAAUUCAAUUACUGUCUAAUUCAUUUUUAUCUAAUUUUUAGUAAAUUGAAAAUCGGAUUUUCUAAUUAAGAUAAUCCAUAUUUGAUAAUUUUUUCUAUACAUCAAACUUUCUUUAUAAACUCUUCCCCUUAAAUAUAUUAAGAGAAGGCCAUAUUUGACAAUAUAUCUUCUAAACCAAUAAAAAUCAAAUUGCAAAUUCUAUGGUACAGCCAAUAUAUUUGAAUGUACCGGUACACUUACUCUUUAAAUUAAUGGUUAAAUGAGUUGUUUUUUGAAGAAAAAUAUUAUUUUCUAUCCUUUAUAUUUAUAAUAACUAAAUCUUAUUCAUCAAAAGUGUUAACGAAAUAAAAUUAAUUUUUUUUGAAUUUUUAGCACUCAUAGUUGAGAAUAUUGAUUAUAUUUUACGAUAAUAUGCAAAAAAAUUACUAUAAUUCUUAUAAAUAAUGAACUGAUGUUUUUUCUUAUGAAAUGAUGUUCUAUAAAAUAUAAAUAUUGAUAAAUAGUUAUUUAUUUCACAAAAAAUAAUCGUUAAUUUAUAAAAUUAUGAAAAAAGAGUACCGGUACACCUCAUUUUGUGAGUCUACAAUAGAAGUUCCCCAAAUCAAAUACAGUCAAAAUAUACUUUAAGUAAAAAAAAUAAAAAUCAAAUAUACUUAAUACAAUAAAAAUCCAAUUUGGACUUGACAAAGAAAAAAAUCCAACAUGUGCAACAAAUUGACGUGGUGAACGAAAGCAACGUCUGCAUGUUGAAAGGAGACCACUUUCUGUGGUGGGGACUGAUUUUAUAUACAGACAAUGGUGUUCAGACGGGAACAGACUUGCCAGUCUAUUCUUUUAAUAGUGUUAAUUAAGGGUGUUUUGGUGCAUUUUUAAUCGAUUUUGAGGUUAAAAGUUAUCCAAAUCGUAAAAUAAAAGAGCAUCAUGUUUGAUUUAAUUGACUUUUAAAAUAAAACUUGAACCAAAUCAAUAUGGGUUGAAUUAUAUUGGUUCGUGUGGUUUUUUCGAGACUAUAAUUUUUUAUUUUUAACAUUAAAAUCGAGUUAAAAACUUAUAACACAACAUAUUUCCAAUAAUGUUUCCGACAAUGUUUUCAAUUUCAUCCAACAUGACAAUUUUAUUUUCACCAAAUAAUAAUAUAGACGAAAUUUAAAAUGUGGACAAAAAGUAAUCCUAUUAAAGAAAUGUAAAAUACUAAGAUUUAUCAUUCUAUAAAAUUUUAUUUUAUAAAAGUUUCCAUUUUUGAAAUAAAAAGUAAAGAAGAAAAUUAACAAGAGAAAAUAAUAUGUCGUUUUAUAAAAGUUUUCAUUGAAUUUCUAUGAGUAUUGGUCUACCUGAAUUAGGUUUAAUUAGCGUUUUUCUUAUGUUGCGGUUUAGUUUGGUUAAUAAAAUAAAAACUGCAAACCGAACCAAACCUUGCGGUUAAGUAAAAAAGUGAUCCGAAUUCAUCCAAACCAAAUGCAUUUUUUGCGGUUUUAGUUUGAGUUGGUUCGGUUUGCAGUUUUUCUACUGGAUUGGUCAGUUUUGAACACCACUAUUUUUUUUGUCUAGUAGCCUAGUGUCUGGAGCUCACACAAUUAAAUUUGAAGAAGUGGGGUAUCUGGGGUUCAAACCCCGACCCUGUAUAAAUUGUGCAAUGUUCUUAUCAAUUGAGCUAAGCUCACGGGGACGUUUCGAACACCUCUAGUGCUAAUGCAUAUAAAUUAUGAAUAUUUAGUAGUUUUUAUGAAAUUUUAAUUUUGAUUAAAAUUAUAGAUAUAGAUAUUUUGUUCUUUAUAUUCUAACAAAUUAUACUUAUUUUUUUUAAAUAACACUAACAAUAUAGCAAAUAUAAUAUAAAUUCUUAUCUUUUUAUUUAUAUUUUUAUUUUUAUAAGCCUUAUUUCAUAAGCCGUUUUCAGCAAAUUUUCAAAAAUGUUUUCAAAAUCAUUUAUGAAAACAUCUUAUAUAUGAAAACAAUUUAACAUAAAUUUAUCUUUUGCUGUAGAAAUAGUUUAUGCAUAAGUGCUCAUCAUAAUUAAUAAGAACUUGCGCUAUAAAUUAUUUAUCCAAACAUGGCCUCUAUUCAUUACUAUUCAACUUAUGAAGCGUGUAAGAAUUAUACUCCCCGAUGUCCAAAAAGGAACUGAAAGGUGAGCAUUUCUUAAUUCAUUGAUUUAGAAUUAUUAAGUUAUGUUUACAAUUUUUCAUGGUUCAUAUUUUUUUUCAGUUUUCAGUAGGACGCCUAUCUUACUUUUUAAUGAUUUAUUCUAUUGAAUUUAUAGAGAAAAGGAGGGAAACUGAAAAGUUAUAAAUCUGUUAUUGAUCAAAUGACUCCCUAAAACUAGUUCUGCAGUAUACCAAUCUUAUAUAUCAUUAAAAGCUUACUAGGGUUUUUUAUACAAGAAAAUGUUAAUGCUUAGUAUAUUAUGUAAGUAACCUGAAUUGGAAUCUUAGACCUCAUGUUAAGCAGUGGUUUAGAGUUUUUUUUUAUAUAAGAAAAUGUUAAUUGUAGUGAGUUAUGUUAGUAACCAGACUUGUUAGUUAUUGAUUUGAAUUCUGUUACAACUCAGACACUUAAGCUACCCCUUGAGGAUAAAAUUAUGCAAGAGUUACUUACAACAAAUAACUGUAGUAACCAUCGAUUUCAGAACUGGAUCCGCUGAUUGAACCAGGAAUCGGCCAGUCUAUACCGGUUGUUCAACCAUGGUCGGUUAUAAGUCUGUCAGAACCUCAUUCAACCAUGGUUUAUUCAACCGAAUCAUUGUUUUUUCGAAUGUUCAUACAUAUUUCGGGAAAUAUUCUUUAAUUCCUGGAUAUGAAAGACAACCAAAAUCUCAUAUUAGUUUUAUUCAUGGUCCUAUGUUAAAACCUGUUCUAUAAAGUAGCUGAUCUUAUGUACGCCUGAUAUAUUUGAAGUUUGAUCCUUCUGUUUGCAUAGGCUGUUCUUUGAUGAUAUUGAAAAUGAAUAGUAUAAUUGCAUAGUAGUACUCAACAUAAGUGAAUGUCUUUUAUUGUUAUAGGAUAGAACCUUUCAAAUCAAUCUCCGAAGCAAGAAGCUUACAAGCAAUGAGAAGUUUAUGAAUAUAAUAUUAAUGUGAUCUUUAGUUACGAAGAAUGAACUUGAUGAAGUUGAAUGCAUUGUUACGAUGUUCCUGACUAAAAUGUUGAUAUCCACACUUAAGAACAUAGGUAGACAUAAAAUGCAAAUUAUUUGGUCCGAACAAAACUAUAAAAAUCGUACAAAAGUCACUUAAGUUCGAUUUUGUUUGAGUAACACCUCCUUAAUCACUUUCUCCAAGUUCAUGUAUGAACAGCCUCCAGGUCUCGUGUCCUCCUCCACCUUCUUCUUCAACUCAAUUGCCUUUUGCCUCAUCUUCUUUGCUUUCUCUCCCACCAUCAAUUCAUUAACCAGCUUCUCCACCUCCUCUCUCUUCACAUUAGUGUCGAUUUCAAUUCCAAUUUUCCAUGUAUUGCAUAAAUAUCUGCAGCUUACUGGGUGAUCAGCGAAAAAUGGCCAACACAACAUUGGAACUCCAGCAGAUAUGCUUUCAGUGAUUGAGUUCCAUCCGCAAUGAGUCAAGAAUCCACCAAUUGAAGGGUGGUUCAGUACUUGCUCUUGCGGACACCAGCUCGUUAUUAGGCCUCUAUCUGAAAUUUCAUUCACAAACUCCGAUGACAAAACAGCUGAGCCGCCGAUGACAAGAUCGGGCCUAAUGAUCCACAAAAAGGGUUGCUUGCUAUUUGCUAAACCCCAUGCAAACUCUAACAGUUUUUCUGCAGUCAUAACUGUCAAGCUCCCAAAAUUCACAUAAACAACAGACCUAGGUUCCUUGGAUUCAAGCCAAUAAAGACACUUGGUAUCUUCUUUCCAAAAAUUGGUGCUUAAAGAUGUCAAAUGGUUUUCUGGACUUUGAUUUAAAAACGAAGAUAAAGGGCCAAUAGCAUGAAUACAAGGGAACACAGUGGAGAGAGCAUUCAUUACAUCCUUCUCAAGUUCAUUAGAAGUGUUUAAAAUAUAAGCAGAGGGUCGGUGAGCCCUUCCAGACGCUUCAAGGAUAAAUUCUACCAUGGAAUCAUUUGGAUAUUUUGCUCUUACAAAGUCCGGAAGAUCCUUGAUUCGGAAGUUUUUCAUGUUGGAAAUUUAGGUCUUAAUAUAAACAGAUUUCAUAAUACAUGUUCAACAACUAUGAAUCAAUAGCGGAAGCAAACAAAACAUUGAACAUGAUUAUGAUCGGAUCUACGACAUGUUUGAUUUACCAAGGAUAUUAAGAAUUAGGGUAUUAGGAAUACCUGGAUAAAGCUUUUGUAACAACCCUCUCAUCAACAACGAUAACCAAAGAGAGGAGAUGAUCUGAAACACGCAAUAGAGUUAGCGGCGGCUGAUUUGGUUCUUCCUCAACCGGUACCUUUAUGCCUCAAGUUCUCUUCAGAUGGGGAGAAGAGAGAGUAUUGCCGUGUACGGUGUAUUGGGGACCAUAGCCUCUUUUAUAUUGGAUGGCCAUUAGGGUUUCCCAUUAUUCCAUUAAUGGGUCAUCCGGACAUCCACUCAUGUUGAGUCCAUAUCAACUAAUUAAAUAAUUAAUUAUCCAAAAUAGAAAUCUAAUUAGCCUUAUUACUUAAUUUGAUCACUAAUCAAUUAAGGCUCACAAUUGAUAAAUAGCUAAUAUAAUUAUUAUUACGAUAUUUGCCCACAUAAUGAUAUUGGAAUAUUAUUAAUUAAUAAAAUAUUCCAACAUUUCAGUCCUGGAAUACAAUCUACUUUAGUGUCCAAAUAUCCGUUUGUGAGAUAACUGUCAUCUGUACAUCAAAUUACAAAAUCUGUUAACUUGAAAUGUCAUAUUAAUACUUUAACUACACUACAUCUAUGAAGAAAGAAAGAAGAUUAAUUGAUUGUUACCUUUUAGUGGUAUGACACCUUUGUCAAACAGUGUAGGUAAGUGAAAACAAGUCAAAAACAUACAUGCACUGGCUGGACUAAAGAAAACAACAGGGAUUGAAAGUUCUUCAGCAGCUUGUAUUGUAAAAUACAUGCUAUUAUCAGAAACUAUGCAAGUAACUGGAGGGACAAGACCAGAAGUGGCAGAGUCAUUAAGUCUAGCAAGAAGUUCACAAAAAGGUUGUAGGAAGUUCUUUCUGAUUGAUUCACAUAGAGCAUAUAUGUCUUGAUUAACAUCACUAUCGCCUUCUAUCGGAGUUAAACCAUCUGGAAUAGUCUCAAAGGUAAAAUCGGUGAAACCAUCAAACGCUUUUGGACCUCUUGAUUUGAGCAAGCGUUUGUGAUUGUAUUCGGUGUUGACAAAGGUUAUGUGAAAGCCUCUAAGGUGAAGAAGCUUUGCUAGUGUUAUUAAUGGAGUGAUAUGUCCUUGAAGUGGAUAUGGAAUCAACACUGCAUGUGGCUUUUUAUCAGAAAAAUGACUCAUUUCUGAGUUUUCUUGUAUUAUAGUAUGUGUAUGACUUGAGGUUUAGAGAUAAAGGGAUUAGCCAGUGCCAACAAUACACCUACCUAACAACUCUAAUCAUAAUGCCAAAAAACAUGUCAUGUGACAGCGUUUAAAUUAGUCUGUAGCUGAAUAAAAAUUUGGUGAUGAAUAAUGGCAAUCAUUAGGCUGUGACCAAUAAUGUUGGAGGACUUAAUGAUAAGUAAUCUAAGUCAAAUAAUUGCAUGGUUUUGUAACCAAUAUAUGUGAACAAUAAAAGAUAUUUAAACUGUCUCAUUAUUGUAAGGGAAAUAUAUUACAGACUCUAAUUUGAACUACACAAUAUUCUAUCCGUCGCAUAAAAAGUGUUUUAUUUAGAAUGUGUACGAUUCUUAUGAAAAUAAUUAGCUGUGUUGAUUUUAAUGGUAAAAUUAAUAUCAUUUACUAAAAUAUUCAUAUUAAUUUAUAUCAUUUACUACUAAGACUUUGUUUGCGAGUUGGAUUUUGGAGGGGAGGGGAAGGGAAGGAAAGGCUCAUGGCUCAUGGAGUGGUAAAUCCUUGUUUGCGAGUUUUAAAAAAACAAGGGAAAGGUUUUGGGGGGUUUUGAAGGGCUUUAUUUGUCCAAUUUUAAAGUUCCCCCAAAUUGGGGGGUUUUGGGGGGUUAAACAUACAAAUUGACAAUUUUGCCCUCUUAAUAAUUCAAAAUUCUAAUUUUAGACAUUACUAAAAUUAUUACAAUCUUUUUUAAAAACAACUUAUUCAAAACAACUUAUUUAUACAAAACAGCUUAUUACGACCUCAUUUUCAAAAACGGCUUAUUCAAAACAGCUUAUUACGACCUCAUUUUCAAAGACCACUUAUUCAAAACAACUUAUUUAUAAAAAACAGCUUAUUACGACCUCAUUUUCAAAAACCGCUUAUUCAAAACAACUUAUUUAUGCAAAACAGCUUAUUACGACCUCAUUUUCAAAAACAUCUUAUUUAUGCAAAACAGCUUAAUACGACCUCUUUUUCAAAAACAGCUUACUCAAAACAGCUUAUUUAUGCAAAACAGCAUUAUACGAUCUCUUUUUCAAAAACAGCUUAUUACGACCUCAUUUUCAAAAAUCGCUUAUUCAAAACAACUUAUUUAUACAAAACAGCUUAAUAUGACUUCAUUUUAAAAAACAGCUUAUUCAAAACACCUUAUUUAUGCAAAACAGCUUAAUACGAUCUCUUUUUCAAAAAAAAGCUUACUCAAAGCAGCUUAUUUAUACAAAACAGCUUAAUACAAUCUAUUUUUCAAAAACAACUUUUUCAAAACAGCUUAUUUAUCCAAAACAGCUUAUUAUCACCUCUUUUCAAAAAAACAGUUUAUUUGUGCAAAACACCUUAUUUCGACCUCUUUUCAAAAAAUAGCUUAUUCAAAACAACUUAUUUUUACAAAACAGUUUGGAUAAAUAAGUUGUUUUGAAUAAGUUUUUUUUAAAAAAGAGAUCGUAUUAUGCUAUUUUGCAUAAAUAAGUUGUUUUGAAUAAGCUGUUUUUGAAAAAGAGAUCGUAUUAAGUUGUUUGGUAUAAAUAAGCUGUUUUGAAAUAGCUGUUUUUAUAAAAGAGAUUGUAUUAAGCUGUUUCGCAUAAUAAGUUGUUUUGAAUAAGCUGUUUCUGAAAAUGAGGUCAUAUUAAGCUGUUUUGUAUAAAUAAGUUGUUUUGAAUAAGUGAUUUUUGAAAAUGAGGUCAUAAUAAGCUGUUUUAUAUAAAUAAGUUGUUUUGAAUAAGCUGUUUUUGUAAAAGAGAUUGUAUUAAGCUGCUUUGUAUAAUAAGUUGUUUUGAAUAAGCUAUUUUUGAAAAUGAGGUCAUAUUAUGUUGUUUUGUAUAAAUAAGUUGUUUUGAAUAAGCGAUUUUUGAAAAUGAGGUCAUAAUAAGUUGUUUUGUAUAAAUAAGUUGUUUAAAUGAGGUCGUAAUAAGUUGUUUUGUAUAAAUAAGUUGUUUUGAAUAAGCGGUUUUUGAAAAUGAGGUCGUAAUAAGCUGUUUUGUAUAAAUAAGCUAUUUUGAAUAAGCUAUUUUUGAAAAAGAGAUUGUAUUAAGCUGUUUUGCAUAAAUAAGCUGUUUUGAAUAAGUUGUUUUUGAAAAAGAGAUUGUAAUAAGUUGUUUUGUAUAAAUAAGCUGUUUUGAACAAGUUGUUUUUUUGAAAAGAGGUCGUAAUAAGCUGUUUUGUAUACAUAAAUUGUUUUGGAUAAGUUGUUUUUGAAAAGAGAUUGUAUUAAGCUGUUUUGAAUAAGCUGUUUUUCUGAAAAGAGGCCAUAAUAAGUUGUUUUGUAUAAAUAAGCUAUUUUGAAUAAGUUGUUUUUUAAAAAAAGAUCGUAAUAAUUUGUUUUUCAUAAGAUAAGCUAUUUUUUAAAAAGAGGUCGUAAUAAGUUGUUUUGUAUAAGUAAGUUGUUUUUAAAAAGUGAUUGUAAUAAGUUUUUUUUUUUUUUUAUAAAUAAGUUGUUUUUUAAAAAUAGAUUUUAAUAAUUUGUUUUUCAUGCGAUAAGUUGCUUUGAAUAAAUUUGAAGUUAAAUUACGAAGUAUAACAAUGUAUUGAUUUUAAGAGGAAAAAUGGUAAAAUAGUAAAAUUAUACUAUAAGCCCUCCAUCUCCUUUUCUUUAUUGACUUUUUAACUCCCAAACAAGAGGAAGGUUUUCCCUCCUUUCUCCCUUCCCUCCCUUUCCUUCCCUUCCUCUCCUUAGCCUUUCCUUUCCUUCCCCUCAAAACUCGCAAACAAAGCCUAAAAUGUAUUUUGAGAGUUCGCUUCGUAAAAUAUUUUUUGUUUAAUAGUGAGUUGAACAAAAAUUAAUUUAUGUUUAGAUAUAUUUAUUAGCGCAUCUUGCAACGUUUCUCUUUUGUUGUAAUCUAAUUAUGAGUGAUAAGAUAAUUAACUCGAUGAGAGUUAAGAGAAGAAAAUAUAUGUUGCAAUCUGAUCUCAUUAUUAAUGGAAAAAAAUUUACUACAACUUAUUUAUAUGGAAAUUACUUGCUAGUCAAGCAAAACAUACUCAACUUACCUAGCUGUAUUUUGUAGUUCAGAUAUUGAUGAAAAAGCUAAACUAUGGAAAUUACAACAACUUAAAAUUUACUACAACUUAUUUAUAUGGAAAUUACUUGUGAAUUUACAUAAAAUUAAGACUAAAAAUUAAUUAUUCUAUUGCAUCUAGAUAGAAAAUAGAGAGAGAAAAAAAAUUAAAAUUUUAGUUCUGUUAUUGAUCAAAAAGCUAAACUAUAACUAUAUUAACUAUAACAUCUAGAUAAGAGAAAUAGGAUGCUCAUAUACAUAUUCUCACCAAUAUUCUUCACUAGUAGAAUAUGUAAAGAGAACAAAAAUAUCAUAUUAGUUUCAGUCAUGUUCCAGUCACACCAACAUGGACACUAGACAUGACACGACUCGACACUGACAAUGAAAUUUUGAUGCCUGCAAUAAUUUGAGAAAAUAGAAUAAAUGUAUUUAAAUGUGUUGGAGUCGUUUAGGUGUCAAAUAUCAACAUGUUUCGGACACUAAACACUCAUCGAAGUGUCAAUGUUGCACCCUUUAAAACCUUACACCUAAGUAAGCUUACCAUUUCUAUUUUUUUAUAUUAAAACUGAUUCCAAUGUUAAAGUAAAACAUUAACUUAUGGCUUGUAUUUAAUUUAGUUAUUCCUAACAAAACUAUAAAUCUUGUUUAACAUAGAAGGAUAUUAAUUUAAACCUGAACACACAGCAAAGUGAUUGUUUGCUUUAAUUUAUCCUUCAUAUGAUAAUGGAAUUCAAGAUACUGUGGAAAAAGCCUCACUACCCCAACUUCAAAAUUUCAAAGCUGUAAAAUUCAACGAAUAAAAAUUUAAAUACAUAUGCCAUAGAAUUAUCCAAUUCAAUCCAUUAGUUUAAGAAUUCUUGCACAAGAUAUGUUCAAUUCCAUCAUCAUGAACUCUUAAUUUAUUAGCAUCAAUAUAUUUGUUAUACAAUACAAUAGCAUCAUCCCUUAAAUUCAGUAGGAGAAUAUCAAUGGAUCAAUAUAAUACUACAUUGCAUAAAAAAUUCACUUAUAGGUUUGAUUUUAUUUAAGCAAAACCUCCUUAAUCACUUUUUCCAAGUUUAUGUAUGAACAACCUCCAGGUCUCGUGUCCUCCUCCGCCUUCUUCUUCAACUCGAUUGCCUUUUGCCUCAUCUUCUUUCCAUUCUCUCCCACCAUCAAUUCAUUGACCAACUUCUCCACCUCCUCUCUCUUCACAUUGGUGUCAACUUCCAUCCCAAUCUCCCAU
RNAcentral lists this long non-coding RNA (14955 nucleotides) under Medicago truncatula (barrel medic). RNAcentral's name for it is "long non-coding RNA (MTRU_LNC003836)". The record is from RNAcentral. Lineage: Eukaryota; Viridiplantae; Streptophyta; Magnoliopsida; Fabales; Fabaceae.